UGACCAGGGGGCCGGGACGCGUUGAUCAUAUGAUCGGCGUGACCUAGGGGUACAGGGAGUACCUCCGCCAAGGGCCGGGUCAGGCAAGCC
Non-coding RNA from Pseudomonas syringae pv. japonica str. M301072, 90 nucleotides. Lineage: Bacteria; Pseudomonadati; Pseudomonadota; Gammaproteobacteria; Pseudomonadales; Pseudomonadaceae. The record is from Rfam.